UAGAUUGAAGCCAGUUGUGUAGGGUAUUUAGCUGUUAACUAAAUUUUUGUGGGGUUGGAGCCCAUCAGUCUAG
RNAcentral lists this transfer RNA (73 nucleotides) under Myospalax aspalax (false zokor). RNAcentral's name for it is "tRNA-Asn". The record is from RNAcentral. Lineage: Eukaryota; Metazoa; Chordata; Mammalia; Rodentia; Spalacidae.